GUGCUUGCUUCGGCAAGCGCGUACGCUAAGUUGGAUAUGAUACAGAGAAGAUUAGCAUGGCCCCUGCGCAAGGAUGACACGCAAAUUUGAGAAUGACAAGGGCGAAAGCCGAUCGUU
Small nuclear RNA from Astatotilapia calliptera (eastern happy), 117 nucleotides. NCBI's taxonomy places the organism in Eukaryota, Metazoa, Chordata, Actinopteri, Cichliformes, Cichlidae. The record is from Ensembl.